RNAcentral lists this ribosomal RNA (253 nucleotides) under uncultured bacterium. Its description in RNAcentral is "partial 16S ribosomal RNA". It matches the Rfam family "Bacterial small subunit ribosomal RNA", at positions 524 to 776 of the family's 1533-position model. The record is from RNAcentral.
UACGAAGGGGGCUAGCGUUGUUCGGAUUUACUGGGCGUAAAGCGCGUGUAGGCGGGUCGUUAAGUUGGGGGUGAAAUCCCGGAGCUCAACUCCGGAACUGCCUUCAAAACUGGCGACCUGGACUCAAGCAGAGGCAAGUGGAAUUGCGAGUGUAGAGGUGAAAUUCGUAGAUAUUCGCAGGAACACCAGUGGCGAAGGCGACUUGCUGGGCUUGUAGUGACGCUGAGACGCGAAAGCGUGGGGAGCAAACAGG